Molecule: ribosomal RNA, 280 nt
Filed under: uncultured bacterium
Lineage: Bacteria
Description: partial 16S ribosomal RNA
Rfam family: Bacterial small subunit ribosomal RNA
Source: RNAcentral
UGCCAGCCGCCGCGGUAAUACGGAGGGCGCAAGCGUUGUUCGGAAUCAUUGGGCGUAAAGCGCGUGUAGGCGGCCAGGUAAGUCGGUUGUGAAAGCCCGGGGCCCAACCCCGGAAUUGCAUUCGAUACUGCCUGGCUAGAGUCCCGGAGAGGAGAGCGGAAUUCCCGGUGUAGAGGUGAAAUUCGUAGAUAUCGGGAGGAACACCAGCGGCGAAGGCGGCUCCCUGGACGGUGACUGACGCUGAGACGCGAAAGCGUGGGGAGCAAACAGGAUUAGAUAC